This 423-nucleotide ribosomal RNA is filed under the name uncultured prokaryote. RNAcentral describes it as "bacterial SSU rRNA". It matches the Rfam family "Bacterial small subunit ribosomal RNA", at positions 355 to 776 of the family's 1533-position model. RNAcentral also lists the same sequence under 1 other name. The record is from RNAcentral.
UGAGGAAUAUUGGACAAUGGAUGGAAAUCUGAUCCAGCCAUGCCGCGUGAAGGUCACGGCCCUAUGGGUCUUAAACUUCUUUUGUAUGAGAGCAAUAAGUGUUACGCGUAACACGAUGAGAGUAUCAUACGAAUAAGCAUCGGCUAACUCCGUGCCAGCAGCCGCGGUAAUACGGAGGAUGCAAGCGUUAUCCGGAUUUAUUGGGUUUAAAGGGUGCGUAGGCUGUUGGGUAAGUCAGUGGUGAAAUGUUGCAGCUUAACUGCGAAGCUGCCAUUGAUACUGCCUAGCUGGAAUACGGUUGCCGUGGGAGGAAUGUGUAAUGUAGCGGUGAAAUGCAUAGAUAUUACACAGAACACCGAUUGCGAAGGCAUCUCACGAAGCCGCGAUUGACGCUGAGGCACGAAAGUGCGGGGAUCAAACAGG